RNAcentral lists this long non-coding RNA (1027 nucleotides) under Vulpes vulpes (red fox). Its description in RNAcentral is "lncRNA (ENSVVUG00000019554.1)". The record is from RNAcentral. Lineage: Eukaryota; Metazoa; Chordata; Mammalia; Carnivora; Canidae.
GGGAGGCGGCUGGUGUUCCGCGGCACCGCCGCCAGGCCGCACCCCCUUCGCCCCCGAGGCGCGGCCCUGGGGACCCGGAGCCCCCCACCGCCGACCGCCAACCGACCGGGCGCCCGCACCUGCGGCCCUCAGCGGGAGCCGCGCUCAGUCCCGCAGGGGAGCAGCAGCGGGUCAAACCUCACCCAGGAACGGCGCGGCCCUGCACGCCCGGGGCUCCCAGCGCGGCUUCGCGGUGCGGCAGGACGGAGCCCGCGGUCGGUCGGAGGCACCGGGAAGCGGGCGGCCCGCUGUGCUGUUGCAUCGUUUCAGACCAAAAAGUAGUACAGAAACGGUCCAGCCCACCCGCAACGGCUGACCCCCGGGCCGAAGCCCCGCAGAGCUGGGGACAGGCCCAGAGAGGGGUCCUCGGACACCGAGGAAGGUGCUCUGGCUUCUGACGCUCCCUCUAGGACUUGAGAAGCGACCUCCCUCAGGUUUCCUCUCCCUUCUCCAUCACUGCAAUGAGAACGUCAGGUGGCCCUUGCGUAGAGAAGUAUUUUUUUCUCCUGGAGCAGACAAAUGGCUCCGGGACAAGGCUGAAGUAGGAAGUGGCAGGAGACAGGAGAGCUUUUGCCUGGUGAUCAUCAGGACGCGGGAGAUCAAGGUGCUGUCACCGGCUCGGGCAAGUCCUGGAGACGCCACAGGGCUUCUCGUACGUUUGUAGCAAAAGACUGGAAACCAUGCGAUGGCCCAUCCGGAGAAGACUCAGGUGAACAUUUUCUUCUCGUUUACUCACAGGCUACAUCUCUCAGCACGAGAACGGCUGAAGGCAAGCUCCACAGGGAAGAUGAAAAAUCUUACCCAUUUGGACUGCAGACAAGACCCGCGGGGCCAAAGCAGAGGGAGACACAGAAGGCUCGAAGGGACAGCCAGCCUGCUGGAAAGGCCGCUCGCAAUGGACGCUAGUGGCUGCGCCCAGGCCUGGAUGGAAGAAGGCUCUGGCUGCCAAAUGUUGUCUCUUCUGGUUCCACGCCGUCUCUCAGGAUGA